Molecule: non-coding RNA, 1930 nt
Organism: Myotis davidii
Lineage: Eukaryota; Metazoa; Chordata; Mammalia; Chiroptera; Vespertilionidae
Source: Rfam
UGCGCCCAGGGUGGUGUGGAGAAGGGGUUGUACCUCCACUCGACUCCAGGUGCGCCAGGACUGCACCCUCUUCUCCCCCACCCAGCUUCACUGGGCCGGCGCCUAGCAGCCCACUUAGAACUGGUGACUGUUGAAUUAAAACAAUGCAUUGCAAAGGCCCAGCGGGUGCUGACACAAUGUGAUUUCUGCCCAGGGCUCUGAUUGUGAAGUGAAGACAUUCAAUGAAGCGCGGGGAUUAACUAUGACUCUCUUAAGGUAGCCAAAUGCCUCCUCAUCUAAUUAUUGAUGUGCAUGAGUGGAUGAACGAGAUUCCCACUGUCCCUACCUCCUAUCCAGCGAAACCACAGCCAAGGGAACGGGCUUGGCGGAAUCAGCGGGGAAAGAAGACCCUGUUGAGCUUGACUCUAGUCUGGCAGGUGAAGAGACAUGAGAGGUGCAGAAUAAGUGGGAGGCCUGGCGCCCCUCCAUCUCUGCGAGGGGGUGGGGUCAGCCAGUGAAAUACCACCACUGGGGGGACAGUGCCAGGUGGGGAGUGUGACUGGGGCAGUACACCUGUCACAUGGGAACGCAGGUGUCCGAAGGCGAGCUCAGGAGGACAGAAACCUCCCGCGGAGCAGAAGGGCAAAAGCUCGCUUGAUUUUGAUUUUCAGUACGAAUACGGACCGUGAAAGCAGGGCCUCACGAUCCUUACGACCUUCUGGGUUUUAAGCAGGGGGUGUCAGAAAAGUGACCACAGGGAUAGCUGGCUUGUGGCGGCCAAGCGUUCAUAGCGAGGUCGCUUUCUGAUCCUUCACUGUGGGUUCUUCCCAUCAUUCCCAUCAUUCCCAUCAUUCCCAUCAUUCCCAUCUUUGUGAAGCAGAAUUCCUCACGCAUGGGAUUGCUCACCAAGAGGGAACGUGAGAUGGGUUAGAUUCAACCUCCUGAGGAUGUGUUGUUGCCAUGGUAAUCCUGCUCAGUAGGAGAGGAACUGCAGGUUCAGUUGGUGGAUGUGCUUGGCUGAGGAGCCCAGGGGGCGAAGCUACCAUCUGUGGGAUUAGGACUGAAGCUUCUAAAUCAGAAUCCCGCCCAGACAGAACCAUAAGGCUGCACCUUGGGCCUCGGUUGCCCUCAGAUAGCCGGUCCCUGCCAGCGGGCUGUCUCCUCCCCUCUGCGCAUCUGGUAGGUCCGGUGCGGAGAGCCCUUGGUCCUGGGAAAUGGGGGGUGGCUGGAAAGGGGUCCGCCCUCUCCAUUCUUCACGCAAUGCACGUUUGUGGGGAGUCUGGUGCUAAACCAUUGCAAUUGACCUGCUUCUGGGUGGGGGUUUCGUAAGUAGCAGAGCAGCUCCCUCGCUGUGAUCUACUGAAAGUCAGCCCUCCACACCAGUGUUUGUCUCGCUUCUGGCCUCUUUCCUUGGGGAGGGGAGGGAAGUGGGGAGGGGACUGUCGCCCGCCCCCUAUGGUGGGGGCACGCAGCACCCUAGGGAAGGAAGGGGGACACUGCACCCCUGGAGCCCAUGGUGGCAUUAGCGACCCUUCCUUCCUUCCUUUGGGGCCCCAUCAUGGCGACCAGUCGCCUCCUCUCCGGAACCCCGCCGCAGGGCCAUUUGGCUCCGGGCUGGGACUAGGAAGUGGGGGUGGGUGGCGGUGGACUCGGCCCCUGACCAAGGGGGGCUGAGGGCCGGCUCCUCCCCAUUUUUUCCUCCCCCUCUGAGGAGCAUGGUCGACCAGCCCUGCAAAACCGCUGGCGCAGGGCGGCUGCAGGGAAAGAAGGUUGCCUCGUGGCUCCGGGUCGACCAGAUGUCCCGGCCCAGACUUAGUCUCUGGCAGCGGCAGCAGCAGCAGCAGCAGGGACCACAAGAGACGGGGUUGACUAGAUGGCCCGGCCCAGACAGUCUCUGGCGGCAGCGGCAGGGACCACAAGAGAUGGGGUCGACCAGAUGGCCAGGCUUUGG